GUGCAAUAGUCCAAAUAAGCAAUAACUCACCAUGUGCAAUAGUCCAAACAAGCUAUUAACUCACAUAUACAAACAAAAUGUUUAAUAAUUACAAUAAUAUUUAAUUACUGUUAUGGGAUCAGUUAUCCAGUAGCAUUUUAAUAUAAUGAGGGAUAUGCUUUGAUACCAUUUUCUUCGGUAACAAAAAUAAUUGCUAUUUCUUGGCAGCUUGAGUGCAAUCAGAGAAAGCAGUAUCUAACACAACUCUGCAUUAGCUAACACAACUCACAUUAUGUUUGAAGAGGUGCACAUGUUUACAUUUAACAAUACUAUAAGUUUUGUAUACCCUAAUACAGUAAGGGUUAAGUCAAUGUGGAAUAUACAAUAAAAUAAUCAAACUCAGAACAUCAAAAUGUAUAGAAUAUUUGACAGCAUUUUUCAAAUUGGAUAGCUAAGCAUUCCACAAAACAUUGUUGAUCAACAAUCCAUUGUCAUUGCAUUUUACCCAGAUAGUCAAAGAGCAGAUUUGUAGUUCUUUUAACAUGGAAAGUCUAUCAUUCAACU
This 543-nucleotide long non-coding RNA is filed under the name Paramuricea clavata. Lineage: Eukaryota; Metazoa; Cnidaria; Anthozoa; Malacalcyonacea; Plexauridae. The record is from RNAcentral.